RNAcentral lists this non-coding RNA (184 nucleotides) under Neobacillus jeddahensis. RNAcentral describes it as "Lysine riboswitch". It matches the Rfam family "Lysine riboswitch aptamer". Rfam says of the family: Riboswitches are metabolite binding domains within certain messenger RNAs that serve as precision sensors for their corresponding targets. Lineage: Bacteria; Bacillati; Bacillota; Bacilli; Caryophanales; Bacillaceae. The record is from RNAcentral.
UGAGGUAGAGGUCGCGGUUUUUAUUAGUAAGGCGGAUGAGAUGCAGAGACAUCAUUGACUCCGUUUGGAAGGAAAAACCGCCGAAGUACGCUUUCUUCUCUGCAAAAGUGUGCUGGGGCUGUCUCCGAAUAGGAGCAGAACUGUCACGUCUUGACCCUACCAGUCAUUUCGUGUUGAGCUAUCU